UUGAACGCUGGCGGCAGGCCUAACACAUGCAAGUCGAGCGGAUGAAGGGAGCUUGCUCCUGGAUUCAGCGGCGGACGGGUGAGUAAUGCCUAGGAAUCUGCCUGGUAGUGGGGGAUAACGUCCGGAAGCGGGCGCUAAUACCGCAUACGUCCUGAGGGAGAAAGUGGGGAUCUUCGGACCUCACGCUAUCAGAUGAGCCUAGGUCGGAUUAGCUAGUUGGUGGGGUAAAGGCCUACCAAGGCGACGAUCCGUAACUG
This 257-nucleotide ribosomal RNA is filed under the name uncultured bacterium. RNAcentral's name for it is "partial 16S ribosomal RNA". It matches the Rfam family "Bacterial small subunit ribosomal RNA", at positions 30 to 289 of the family's 1533-position model. The record is from RNAcentral.